GGGGGGCAUGACCUUUACACAUGCAAGUCGAACGGCAGCGGGGACUUCGGUCCGCCGGCGAGUGGCGAACGGGUGAGUAAAGUAUCGGAACGUACCUUUCAGUGGGGGAUAACGUAGCGAAAGUUACGCUAAUACCGCAUAUUCUGUGAGCAGGAAAGCAGGGGAUCGCAAGACCUUGCGCCGAUUGAGCGGCCGAUAUCAGAUUAGCUAGUUGGUGAGGUAAAGGCUCACCAAGGCGACGAUCUGUAGCGGGUCUGAGAGGAUGAUCCGCCACACUGGAACUGAGACACGGUCCAGACUCCUACGGGAGGCAGCAGUGGGGAAUUUUGGACAAUGGGGGCAACCCUGAUCCAGCGAUGCCGCGUGAGUGAAGAAGGCCUUCGGGUUGUAAAGCUCUUUCGGCCGGGAAGAAAUCGUAUGGGUUAAUACCCUGUGCGGAUGACGGUACCGGGAUAAAAAGCACCGGCUAACUACGUGCCAGCAACCGCGGUAAUACGUAAGGGGCGAGCGUUGAUCGGAAUUACUGGUGGUAAAGCGUGCGCGAGCGCCUGUGUAUUACAGGCGUGAAAUCCCCGGACUCAGCCUGGGAACUGCGCUUGAGACUGCAGUGCUAUACCAUGGGAAACGGGGGUGUGAUUCCACGUGUAGCAGAGCACUGCUGAGAAAUGUGGACGACUGCCACUGGACAGAGCAUCCUGCUGGACCACUASUGACGCUCAUGCGCGAAAGCGCGCUGAGCAAACACGAUUAGAUACCACUGCUASUCCACGCCCUAAACGAUGYCUACUAGGUGUUGGGCGGAUAAAAGCAUUUAGACCGCGUAGCUAACGCGUGAAGUUGACCUGCCUGGUCGAGUACGGUYGACAAGGAUGAAACACA
Molecule: ribosomal RNA, 879 nt
Filed under: uncultured Rhodocyclaceae bacterium
Lineage: Bacteria; Pseudomonadati; Pseudomonadota; Betaproteobacteria; Rhodocyclales; Rhodocyclaceae
Description: bacterial SSU rRNA
Rfam family: Bacterial small subunit ribosomal RNA
Source: RNAcentral